AUACGUAGGUGACAAGCGUUAUCCGGAUUUACUGGGCGUAAAGGGCGUGUAGGCGGUCUUGCAAGUCAGAAGUGAAAUUCCUGAGCUCAACUCGGGCGCUGCUUCUGAAACUGCAGGACUUGAGUGCUGGAGGGGAUAGCGGAAUUCCUAGUGGAGCGGUAAAAUGCGCAGAUAUUAGGAAGAACACCGGUGGCGAAGGCGGCUAUCUGGACAGUAACUGACGCUGAGGCGCGAAAGCGUGGGGAGCAAACAGGAUUAGAUACCCUGGUAGUCCAUGCCGUAAACGAUGAAUGCUAGGUGUAGGGGGUAUCGACUCCCUCUGUGCCGCAGUUAACACAAUAAGUAUUCCGCCUGGGGAGUACGGCCGCAAGGUUGAAACUCAAAUGAAUUGACGGGG
This 397-nucleotide ribosomal RNA is filed under the name uncultured bacterium. RNAcentral describes it as "partial 16S ribosomal RNA". It matches the Rfam family "Bacterial small subunit ribosomal RNA", at positions 523 to 918 of the family's 1533-position model. The record is from RNAcentral.